AGUGAACGCUGGCGGCAGGCCUAACACAUGCAAGUCGAGCGGCAGCGGGCUGUAGCAAUACAGUGCCGGCGAGCGGCGGACGGGUGAGGAAUACAUCGGAAUCUACCUUGUCGUGGGGGAUAACGUAGGGAAACUUACGCUAAUACCGCAUACGAACUACGGUUGAAAGCGGAGGACCGCAAGGCUUCGCGCGAUUGGAUGAGCCGAUGUCGGAUUAGCUAGUUGGCGGGGUAAUGGCCCACCAAGGCGACGAUCCGUAGCUGGUCUGAGAGGAUGAUCAGCCACACUGGAACUGAGACACGGUCCAGACUCCUACGGGAGGCAGCAGUGGGGAAUAUUGGACAAUGGGCGCAAGCCUGAUCCAGCCAUGCCGCGUGU
This 378-nucleotide ribosomal RNA is filed under the name uncultured bacterium. Its description in RNAcentral is "bacterial SSU rRNA". It matches the Rfam family "Bacterial small subunit ribosomal RNA", at positions 29 to 404 of the family's 1533-position model. The record is from RNAcentral.